AAAUUGAAGAGUUUGAUCAUGGCUCAGAUUGAACGCUGGCGGCAGGCCUAACACAUGCAAGUCGAGCGGCAGCGGGAAAGUAGCUUGCUACUUUUGCCGGCGAGCGGCGGACGGGUGAGUAAUGCCUGGGGAUCUGCCCAGUCGAGGGGGAUAACUACUGGAAACGGUAGCUAAUACCGCAUACGCCCUACGGGGGAAAGCAGGGGACCUUCGGGCCUUGCGCGAUUGGAUGAACCCAGGUGGGAUUAGC
RNAcentral lists this ribosomal RNA (250 nucleotides) under Aeromonas veronii. Its description in RNAcentral is "partial 16S ribosomal RNA". It matches the Rfam family "Bacterial small subunit ribosomal RNA", at positions 1 to 245 of the family's 1533-position model. The record is from RNAcentral. Lineage: Bacteria; Pseudomonadati; Pseudomonadota; Gammaproteobacteria; Aeromonadales; Aeromonadaceae.